GAUUCAAGGUAAUUGUUUUAUUUAUUUACAUGUAAUUAUCCUAUUAUUAUACGACGCGAAGCAAGACCGCACCGUGACUCUUUUACGCGACUAUAAGUGCAUGUGACAGGAAUUAUAGUGGUUUACGUUUACGUGAGUAUUACUUCUGUAGUAAUUUAUACGAACGAUAUCAUCGUAGUUACUAUAAAAUCUCCUGUUUAUGCGGAGGAAUUAUCGUAUCGUUCGUAAGUUACUACAGACUUAAGUAACGCUCGCGUAAACGUAGUAUAGGUUAGAUUACCGGCUUUUUAUUUUACAUAAAACGCGAGAUUCACUUAUGUAUGCAAGUUUAACGCCUAUUGAGUUAAUAUGAAAUAAUUUUCCUAAAUGUAAAAAUAACACAAUGUUAUAUAUGCGGUUUGGCGUGAACAUAUAUCGCGAUAAUAGCCAAGGUGAUCGAAGAAGUUGUGUAUAAUGUUCCGAUUCAACGGCCCCUGUCCCUGGUUGAGAGUGUUAAUAAUGACAUUAAUAUCUCUCACACUGUCAAGCCAAAUUGGCUCUUCGUUCAGCUUCCGACUCAUUCAUCAUUUCUCCUUUUGCAAAAUUUGGAAAACAGCAUGAUGUAUUGGUUGUUAUAACAAUGAAUUGCUGCCAGUUCCAGAUGUAUUGAACAAGGAUGAUUACGUGGCUGUAUAUUGGAGCGACAAAUGGAUUAAAGGAUGCAUUGAACGUCCAGAUCCAUCGGGAGAGAGAAGCGUAGUACGAUUACUCGAUCACGGUGGUUACUGGCAGUUUAGUAAUUCGUAAUGUAGGCCAUUGAUAUAUAAUUAUUUGAGCCUACCCUUCCAAGCCAUCGAAAUCUUUUUAGCAAAUAUUCAGCCAAAGAACGGUAAAUGGUCGACAGAAGCUUACAAUGUGGUACAAAAUUGUUCCUCAAAGGGAGUUGGUGCUCAAGCUCAGAUUGAAAGUCGCAUUCAAACUAAUAUUUAUGCAAAUAUUUAUUUUAUGAUACAAAAUUAUGGGCUAAUUUCCAUUGCUGAAAAACUGGUAACGAACGGAAAUGCUGAACAAGUAGCAUGGGAUCAGAUGAAGCCAGAAACACUUGAAUCCAUCUGUACAUAAGAGUUGUCAAGAAACUCUACAAUUUUUACGCAUAAUUCGCGAUUCUUAGUCAGUAUGGACUAGAGUUUAAUACAAUCGCCAUCAUUGAUGAUUCCCUUUAAUCGCGUCAAAAUUGAUUAUUUCGCUUUUUGACUUCGUUUUUUACUCAUGUUGUAAAAUAGUUUUCCGAUUGUGUAGAAUAUUUAUAUUUAGAAAGAAAGAAAUUUAUAAAGAUUGCUAUAUUGAUCGUAGAGUAGAGAAAACAAUAACUUAACAUUUUACAAAGUAGUGUCACAUUUAAACUAGAACAUUUUAUCGAAUAACUCAGACAAAUUAGGAAAUCGUUUCUACGUUUUCUUGUAAAUUUUUUUUGUAAAAAAACUUGGUGCUGCUUUUUUACUCCUGUCGCAUUUUUUCCUAUAUUAUGUUUAUUGUUUUUUUAUUCAAUCAAAAAUGUUAGUACUAAUGUUUAAAUUUUAAUGU
This is a long non-coding RNA of Temnothorax curvispinosus, 1563 nucleotides long. RefSeq lists it as uncharacterized. The transcript is spliced from 4 exons. Lineage: Eukaryota; Metazoa; Arthropoda; Insecta; Hymenoptera; Formicidae. The record is from RefSeq and is a predicted model, not a curated record.